Molecule: long non-coding RNA, 425 nt
Filed under: Brassica napus (rape)
Lineage: Eukaryota; Viridiplantae; Streptophyta; Magnoliopsida; Brassicales; Brassicaceae
Description: long non-coding RNA (BNAP_LNC020526)
Source: RNAcentral
ACGAUAUGGUAUUUGGGAAAAUUGAAAAGGUAUUUUCCUUUUCUCGUUUAAACAUUUAUCCAAAAUUGAUCGAUAAGCUGUUGGCGACAAAUUUUUUUUUGGAAUUCAUCUGGGGUAUUGUUCAUUUGUUCCAUCGUCGUCCUGCUGCCUCUGUGAAGUCGUCUCUGAAAGCAGGGACCAUCUGAGAAAUCUGGUUUUUGGUUCUUCAAAGGAUAAGCUACAGAACAUUGGGAUUCUCAGGAUAGGUCUGAGAAAUCUGGAAUGCUUUCUCUGACUAGCUUUCAUUGAGGGACUCAUUGCUCCCGAACCCGUAAGUUCAUUGCUGCACACGCUACAAUUUGCAAUAUUUGGACCAAAAGAAACAAGCGCUUACAACGGUGGUCUUCAAGAUUAUUGACAUGACUGUAGGUGACAUCAUCAUGGGC